UGUGAAUUCAGUAUGUGAAAUUGCAAGCGGUUCGCCACUUGGCAUUGAAUACGCGUUGUGACUCGCUUUACAACUCAGCGCUAACUAAAUUAUACUAAAUUCCUUUUCCCGCUAAUAUACUUGAAGCUACUCAACACAAAAAAAAGGUUGGAGCAUAACAAUAUGUCGUGUCCUUAACAGCGAGCCGUUAACAACAGCAUGUCAGCUAAUAUAUAGCAUUCUGCCGCAAGACAUAAGCCACUGACAACGCAAACAGAUACAUGAGCCACAAUGCAACGAGAGAUUUAGUGAUCAGCAAUGUGAGCAA
This is a long non-coding RNA of Bactrocera neohumeralis, 307 nucleotides long. RefSeq lists it as uncharacterized. The record is from RefSeq and is a predicted model, not a curated record. Lineage: Eukaryota; Metazoa; Arthropoda; Insecta; Diptera; Tephritidae. The transcript is spliced from 3 exons.